This 253-nucleotide ribosomal RNA is filed under the name uncultured bacterium. RNAcentral's name for it is "partial 16S ribosomal RNA". It matches the Rfam family "Bacterial small subunit ribosomal RNA", at positions 524 to 776 of the family's 1533-position model. The record is from RNAcentral.
UACGUAGGUGGCAAGCGUUAUCCGGAAUUACUGGGCGUAAAGCGCACGCAGGCGGUCUUUUAAGUUUGACGUGAAAGCUCCCGGCUUAACUGGGAGAGGUCGUUGAGGACUGGAAGACUUGAGGCAAUGAGAGGGGUGUAGAAUUCCCGGUGUAGUGGUGGAAUGCGUAGAUAUCGGGGGGAAUACCAGUGGCGAAAGCGGCACCCUAGCGUUAGCCUGACGCUCAUGUGCGAAAGCGUGGGGAGCGAACGGG